Molecule: RNA transcript, 1999 nt
Organism: Lynx canadensis (Canada lynx)
Lineage: Eukaryota; Metazoa; Chordata; Mammalia; Carnivora; Felidae
Gene: DSTN
Gene name: destrin, actin depolymerizing factor
Exons: 5
Source: RefSeq, a predicted model, not a curated record
GGGAAUCGCACCAAAGUACCAGCCCAAGCCGGGCCUCCUCGUCGCUGGUAGAUGAGGAAGGCCCCACCCCACGCAGCCGAGCUGGUGAGAGCAGGACCGCGUCCCCCAGCCUCCGGAAGGUGAAGCGGAAUCCUCAGCCCGCCCUCUGGGCGGGGCGCUGCCUGGCUAGCCGGUUGCGCAGCAACGACGGGCCGCGCUUGGCGUGCGCAGCCGCGUUUGGGCCCGAGGCGCGCGCUCGCGCACCCACCCCCUGGUAGGCUCGCGCCUAGCGUAGGCUGCUUGCUGGGUUGCUCCUUCCUUCUGCGGCGAGGAGGACAGUACGCAGACUCGGCGCCGACCGGCUACCCUUCUAGCGUCUCUGCGACCGCCGCGGCGAAGAUGGCCUCAGGAGUGCAAGUUGCAGAUGAAGUAUGUCGCAUUUUUAUGACAUGAAGUUCGGAAGUGCUCCACACCAGAAGGAAAUCAAGAAAAGAAAGAAGGCUGUCAUUUUUUGUCUCAGUGCAGACAAAAAGUGCAUCAUUGUAGAAGAAGGGAAAGAGAUCUUGGUUGGAGAUGUUGGUGUAACCAUAACCGAUCCUUUCAAGCAUUUUGUGGGAAUGCUUCCUGAAAAAGAUUGUCGCUAUGCUUUGUAUGAUGCAAGCUUUGAAACCAAGGAAUCCAGAAAAGAGGAGUUGAUGUUUUUUUUGUGGGCACCAGAACUAGCUCCUCUGAAAAGUAAAAUGAUCUAUGCAAGCUCCAAGGAUGCAAUCAAAAAGAAGUUUCAAGGCAUAAAACACGAAUGUCAAGCAAAUGGGCCAGAAGACCUCAAUCGGGCUUGUAUUGCUGAAAAGCUAGGUGGAUCCUUAAUUGUAGCUUUUGAAGGAUGCCCUGUGUAGACCAUCAUUCAGUGCCACAAAUUGAAAGCUUCCAUGUUUAAUGUUAUCCUCUUGCUAUAUAAAUGUUUAGGCCAGGGUCUCACUGAGGGGGAGCUGUCUUGUCAUCUGUUAGAGUAAAUUAAAUAUUCUAUAAACAUGUGCAGAUGGCCCUAAAUAAAUCUAAAAUCUGAAGUUUUAUUGGUGUGAAAUUAAAUUCUUAUUGGCCAGAUGCCUGUUUUUGAUGGGUUGGCUUGUAAAGAUUUUUGUUAAACUCAUGAUUUUUAAUAAUGCAGUUCACAAAACAGUACAAGGCCGUAUGAAGAGAAUCACUGCAUCUUUGUAACCUCAGCAGUUACUUUGUUUCUUUGCUUAGAGAAUUGGUCAUAAUCUGGUUAUAAUUUUGGCCCAAAUUUAUUCUCUCUGGAGCUAAACUGCAUACUAGAAAAUAAAUCUCCUCACCAUAUGUAACAGCACUAAUAUACUAACUACAGUAAGACUAAGGCAGCCUUCUAAUUCUAGCAACUGUGUGAUGGAGACUGCCUCAGAAUUGUGCACACUUCUAACCGGCGCUGAUUUUGCAAAGCACUAUUUUGAGCACGCGGUUGGAAUACAGGAAGCAGCUCUCUGCACCUGCAGUAAGCUCUCCAUUCGCUAGUUCGGGAGACUGCUCUGAGAGUGACCUUGCAUCUUGGAAAUCAAAUCAUGGUGUGUCCUCAGGAGAAUGUGCAAUACCUUGCAACGACUUCAUUAUAACACAAAUUAGGGCUCCAUUGUAAUAUACUUUGUUAAUGAAAAUGAUAAAAUGGUGUAUUGACAAGCUGGGACACUUGUGACCUCUUUAAUUGUGUCUCCUUCAAAAUUUUGUUGCUUCUGGUACAGUAAAGUGUGGAAGAACAUUAGGUACAUGUUUAUGCUGGGGCCUGGGAGAACUUCCAAAUUUCCUAGAGCAGUUUGUGGAUUGUAUGGGAAAUGGGGAGCAGGUGUAAUGGAUGACACCCACGGAAGCCACUACCUGAUGACACUUGCAAGUGAUUGUCCUUAACAUCACAGGCAUAACGACACUUUGAACGGUGUAGAGAUGCACACGGUUGGACUUAGAAGUAGCAGUAUUGGCUUUAUGUAAUAAAGGAAGCAUUUUUAACUCC